This 351-nucleotide ribosomal RNA is filed under the name bacterium. RNAcentral's name for it is "bacterial SSU rRNA". It matches the Rfam family "Bacterial small subunit ribosomal RNA", at positions 568 to 917 of the family's 1533-position model. The record is from RNAcentral.
CACGCAGGCGGUCUGUUAAGUCAGAUGUGAAAUCCCCGGGCUUAACCUGGGAACUGCAUUUGAAACUGGCAGGCUUGAGUCUUGUAGAGGGGGGUAGAAUUCCAGGUGUAGCGGUGAAAUGCGUAGAGAUCUGGAGGAAUACCGGUGGCGAAGGCGGCCCCCUGGACAAAGACUGACGCUCAGGUGCGAAAGCGUGGGGAGCAAACAGGAUUAGAUACCCUGGUAGUCCACGCCGUAAACGAUGUCGACUUGGAGGUUGUUCCCUUGAGGAGUGGCUUCCGGAGCUAACGCGUUAAGUCGACCGCCUGGGGAGUACGGCCGCAAGGUUAAAACUCAAAGGAAAUUGACGGA